RNAcentral lists this long non-coding RNA (642 nucleotides) under Manihot esculenta (cassava). Its description in RNAcentral is "long non-coding RNA (MESC_LNC007237)". Lineage: Eukaryota; Viridiplantae; Streptophyta; Magnoliopsida; Malpighiales; Euphorbiaceae. The record is from RNAcentral.
AUAAAUCAUCAAAACUACCACUUUUUCACUUAAACAUGCAUCUCCUUCCUUAACCCCAUAAAACUUUCAGAAAACAUAUAACAAGGUCCAGAUCUUCCCUUACCUCUAUAAACAGGAAGAUGAACGUUCUGAAUCCAAGGAAAACAGAUCAACUCUUCUUCAACCUCACUAACUCUCAAAAGCUUAACUUUUGCUUCAACACUCUUACAAUCUCUUGAACACUAGCAAACUCCUGCAUGAUCUGCUCAAACUCAGCAAAUAAAUCAUGGGAGACGUGGCCAAGCUUCUGGCAACAAGUUGGACAUAACACCUGUCCAAAAUGCUGACUAAGGAUGCCCAAAAGCUGGCUGGCCAACUCAGUUUCGGCUGCCCAAUCGCAUGCAAAACCAUGCAACAUUCGGGGGCCGAACCUACCUUCGGAAGCCGAACACUUUCGGCGGCCGAACUUACCUUCGGCGGCCGAACUUGGCUCAACUGCCUUAGGUCAUUUCAACUCAAAACUCACUUCUAUUAACCUUAAAACAUCAACACACAUCACACCACUUAGUAAAACAUAAAUCCUACCUUUUUUAUAGAAUUUCGACACCCUGGAUUCCACCAAACAACAGGAAUUCCGGUGCCGGACUCUAGCCGGGUAUUACA